UGAUAGCUAUGAAGCGCGAGGUUGCUGCCACACUGGCAGGUUUUCCGUGGAGCGAAUGUCAAGUUAGGAAACUGACGACAA
RNAcentral lists this non-coding RNA (81 nucleotides) under uncultured Blautia sp. RNAcentral describes it as "S10-Clostridia ribosomal protein leader". It matches the Rfam family "S10-Clostridia ribosomal protein leader". Lineage: Bacteria; Bacillati; Bacillota; Clostridia; Lachnospirales; Lachnospiraceae. The record is from RNAcentral.